RNAcentral lists this ribosomal RNA (439 nucleotides) under uncultured bacterium. RNAcentral describes it as "partial 16S ribosomal RNA". It matches the Rfam family "Bacterial small subunit ribosomal RNA", at positions 339 to 795 of the family's 1533-position model. The record is from RNAcentral.
CUACGGGUGGCACCAGUGGGGAAUAUUGCACAAUGGAGGAAACUCUGAUGCAGCAACGCCGCGUGGAGGAUGACGCAUUUCGGUGUGUAAACUCCUUUUAUAUGUCAAGAAAAUGACGGUAGCAUAUGAAUAAGCACCGGCUAACUCCGUGCCAGCAGCCGCGGUAAUACGGAGGGUGCAAGCGUUACUCGGAAUCACUGGGCGUAAAGGACGCGUAGGCGGGCUUGUAAGUCAGGUGUGAAAUCCUACAGCUUAACUGUAGAACUGCACUUGAAACUACGAGCCUAGAGUAUGGGAGGGGGAGAUGGAAUUUGUGGUGUAGGGGUAAAAUCCAUAGAUAUCACUAGGAAUACCUAAAGCGAAGGCGAUCUCCUGGAACAUAACUGACGCUAAGGCGUGAAAGCGUGGGGAGCAAACAGGAUUAGAUACCCGCGUAGUC